RNAcentral lists this ribosomal RNA (380 nucleotides) under uncultured eukaryote. Its description in RNAcentral is "partial 18S ribosomal RNA". It matches the Rfam family "Eukaryotic small subunit ribosomal RNA", at positions 592 to 976 of the family's 1831-position model. The record is from RNAcentral.
CAAUAGCGUAUAUUAAAGUUGUUGCAGUUAGAACGCUCGUAGUCGGAUUUCGGGGCGGGCCGACCGGUCUGCCGAUGGGUAUGCACUGGUCGGCGCGUCCUUCCUUCCGGAGACCGUCCCUACUCUUAACUGAGCGGGGGCGGGAGACGGGACUUUUACUUUGAAAAAAUCAGAGUGUUUCAAGCAGGCAGCUCGCUCUUGCAUGGAUUAGCAUGGGAUAAUGAAAUAGGACUUUGGUACUAUUUUGUUGGUUUCGAACACCGAAGUAAUGAUGAGAAGGGACAGUCAGGGGCACUCGUAUUCCGCCGAGAGAGGUGAAAUUCUCAGACCAGCGGAAGACGAACCACUGCGAAAGCAUUUGCCAGGGAUGUUUUCACUGA